UCUCUUCUGCGUGGUUCGCCACCGCUCUUGUUGGUUGAGCCGAUGCCGUUGAAACGGGAGGCCGACGCCGUUUAUAAGCCAGUGCAUUCUCUCAGAGAUAGAGAACUGCCAGAGGCUGCGGCUCUUCAAAGGCCACCCACCUGUCUAAGCAGGUUCAACCACGGCUGCGGAACGGCCUUGCGGAUGCCCC
Molecule: non-coding RNA, 190 nt
Filed under: Acidobacteriota bacterium
Lineage: Bacteria; Pseudomonadati; Acidobacteriota
Also listed under: 1 other name
Description: 6S RNA
Rfam family: 6S / SsrS RNA
About the family: E. coli 6S RNA was the first non coding RNA to be sequenced, but its function was unknown until recently. It consists of 184 nucleotides that fold into an extended hairpin structure with a large single-stranded internal bulge. The 6S RNA specifically associates with RNA polymerase holoenzyme containing the sigma70 specificity factor.
Source: RNAcentral